This 343-nucleotide transfer-messenger RNA is filed under the name Myxococcota bacterium. It matches the Rfam family "transfer-messenger RNA". From Rfam's summary of the family: Bacterial tmRNA, also known as 10Sa RNA or SsrA, is named for its dual tRNA and mRNA-like properties. Its role is to liberate the mRNA from a stalled ribosome. The record is from RNAcentral. Lineage: Bacteria; Pseudomonadati; Myxococcota.
GGGGGCGAUCGGCUUCGACGUGGGGACUGAAGGAAGAUUUGCGUGCGGUGGCACCCGCCCCACCUACUAAGCGGGCCGUCUAAUUGCGAACGACAACGCAAUCGCUCUCGCGGCCUAAAAAACCGUGAAGCCGUCCAACCGUGAGAUCGUCUUGGUAACGGAAGGGCGUCAUUACUAAGGCUGGCCGGCACGUUGCGCCACUGGGCGUGCCGGUAAGAAACUCAGGGGCUAGGUCGUGGCCGAAUCCACGGACCGAGCCGGAGCGGAUACGCCGGCUACGCACGUGAACGAAAGUUUUCUGGAUGCCUUGCGGACCCGGGUUCAAUUCCCGGCGCCUCCACCA